GGAGAGUUGCCGGAGUGGUCGAACGGGGCGGUCUCGAAAACCGUUGUACCCUUCUCGGGUACCAAGGGUUCGAAUCCCUUACUCUCCG
This 88-nucleotide transfer RNA is filed under the name Bacteroidales bacterium. RNAcentral's name for it is "tRNA-Ser". It matches the Rfam family "tRNA". Rfam says of the family: Transfer RNA (tRNA) molecules are approximately 80 nucleotides in length. Their secondary structure includes four short double-helical elements and three loops (D, anti-codon, and T loops). The record is from RNAcentral. Lineage: Bacteria; Pseudomonadati; Bacteroidota; Bacteroidia; Bacteroidales.